This 337-nucleotide ribosomal RNA is filed under the name uncultured bacterium. Its description in RNAcentral is "partial 16S ribosomal RNA". It matches the Rfam family "Bacterial small subunit ribosomal RNA", at positions 338 to 692 of the family's 1533-position model. The record is from RNAcentral.
CCUACGGGAGACAGCAGUAGGGAAUAUUGCUCAAUGGGGGAAACCCUGAAGCAGCAACGCCGCGUGGAGGAUGAAGGUUUUCGGAUUGUAAACUCCUUUUGUUAGAGAAGAGAAUGACGGGAUCUAACGAAUAAGCACCGGCGAACUCCGUGCCAGCAGCCGAGGUAAUACGGAGGGUGCAAGCGUUACGGGGAACCACUGGGCGUAAAGAGCGCGUAGGCGGGAUAGCAAGUCAGAUGGGAAAUCCUAUGGCUUAACCAUAGAACUGCAUUUGAAACUGUUAUUCUAGAGUCUGGGAGAGUUAGCUGGAAUUCUUGUUGUAGGGGUCACAUCCGUA